This 446-nucleotide ribosomal RNA is filed under the name uncultured bacterium. RNAcentral's name for it is "bacterial SSU rRNA". It matches the Rfam family "Bacterial small subunit ribosomal RNA", at positions 329 to 792 of the family's 1533-position model. The record is from RNAcentral.
AUCCAGACUCCUACGGGAGGCAGCAGUGGGGAAUAUUGCACAAUGGGGGAAACCCUGAUGCAGCGACGCCGCGUGAGCGAUGAAGUAUUUCGGUAUGUAAAGCUCUAUCAGCAGGGAAGAAAAUGACGGUACCUGACUAAGAAGCCCCGGCUAACUACGUGCCAGCAGCCGCGGUAAUACGUAGGGGGCAAGCGUUAUCCGGAUUUACUGGGUGUAAAGGGAGCGUAGACGGCUGUGCAAGCCAGAUGUGAAAGCCCGGGGCUCAACCCCGGGACUGCAUUUGGAACUGUGUGGCUGGAGUGUCGGAGAGGCAGGCGGAAUUCCUAGUGUAGUGGUGAAAUGCGUAGAUAUUAGGAGGAACACCAGUGGCGAAGGCGGCCUGCUGGACGAUGACUGACGUUGAGGCUCGAAAGCGUGGGGAGCAAACAGGAUUAGAUACCCCUGUA